UAGGGAAUCUUCGGCAAUGGGGGGAACCCUGACCGAGCAACGCCGCGUGAGUGAAGAAGGUUUUCGGAUCGUAAAGCUCUGUUGUUAAGGAAGAACGAGUGUGAGAAUGGAAAGUUCAUGCUGUGACGGUACUUAACCAGAAAGGGACGGCUAACUACGUGCCAGCAGCCGCGGUAAUACGUAAGGUCCGAGCGUUGUCCGGAAUCAUUGGGCGUAAAGGGUACGUAGGCGGGUAAGCAAGUUAGAAGUGAAAUCCUAUAGCUCAACUAUAGUAAGCUUUUAAAACUGCUCAUCUUGAGGUAUGGAAGGGAAAGUGGAAUUCCUAGUGUAACGGUGAAAUGCGCAGAUAUUAGGAGGAAUACCGGUGGCGAAGGCGACUUUCUGGCCAUAACCUGACGCUGAGGUACGAAAGCGUGGGUAGCAAACAGG
This 429-nucleotide ribosomal RNA is filed under the name Bacteroidota bacterium. RNAcentral's name for it is "Bacteroidetes bacterium partial 16S ribosomal RNA". It matches the Rfam family "Bacterial small subunit ribosomal RNA", at positions 355 to 776 of the family's 1533-position model. Lineage: Bacteria; Pseudomonadati; Bacteroidota. The record is from RNAcentral.